RNAcentral lists this ribosomal RNA (253 nucleotides) under uncultured bacterium. Its description in RNAcentral is "partial 16S ribosomal RNA". It matches the Rfam family "Bacterial small subunit ribosomal RNA", at positions 524 to 776 of the family's 1533-position model. The record is from RNAcentral.
UACGGGGGGGGCAAGCGUUGUUCGGAAUUACUGGGCGUAAAGGGCGCGUAGGCGGCCUUCUAAGUCAGACGUGAAAUCCCCAGGCUUAACUUGGGAACUGCGUCUGAUACUGGGAGGCUUGAAUGCGGGAGAGGGAUGUGGAAUUCCAGGUGUAGCGGUGAAAUGCGUAGAUAUCUGGAGGAACACCGGUGGCGAAGGCGGCAUCCUGGACCGACAUUGACGCUGAGGCGCGAAAGCCAGGGGAGCAAACGGG